RNAcentral lists this unclassified non-coding RNA (211 nucleotides) under air metagenome. RNAcentral's name for it is "partial contains small subunit ribosomal RNA, internal transcribed spacer 1, and 5.8S ribosomal RNA". The stretch from base 1 to 46 matches the Rfam family "Eukaryotic small subunit ribosomal RNA", at positions 1786 to 1831 of the family's 1831-position model. The record is from RNAcentral.
AAGUCGUAACAAGGUUUCCGUAGGUGAACCUGCGGAAGGAUCAUUAUUGAAAAGGGAACCCUUCGGGGUUCAACCUUAAACCCCAUGUCUUAAUUACCUGUUUCUUUGGCGGGCUUGCCCGUCAGAAGUUUUCUCAAACCCAUUAUAAAUGUGUCAUCUGAAUAACAAACAAAAUAAAUUAAAACUUUCAACAACGGAUCUCUUGGUUCUG